CCUACGGGAGGCAGCAGUGAGGAAUAUUGGUCAAUGGGCGCGAGCCUGAACCAGCCAAGUAGCGUGAAGGAUGAAUGCCCUACGGGUUGUAAAUAUCUUUUAUAAAGGAAUAAGGUGAGGCACGUGUGCCUUUUUGUAUGUACUUUCUGAGUAAGGAUCGGCUAACCCCGUGCCAGCCGCCGCGGUAAUACGGAGGAUCGGAGCGUUAUCCGGAUUUAUUGGGUUUAAAGGGAGCGUAGAUGGGUUGUUAAGUCAGUUGUGAAAGUUUGCGGCUCAACCGUAAAAUUGCAAUUGAUACUGGCAGUCUUGAGUACAGUUGAGGGAGGCAGAAUUCGUGGUGUAGCGGUGAAAUGCGUAGAGAUCACGAAGAACUCCGAUUGCGAAGGCAGCUUACUAAACUGCCACUGACAUUGAUGCUCGAAAGUGUGGGGAUCAAACAGGAUUAGAUACCCUAGUAGUC
RNAcentral lists this ribosomal RNA (460 nucleotides) under uncultured bacterium. RNAcentral describes it as "partial 16S ribosomal RNA". It matches the Rfam family "Bacterial small subunit ribosomal RNA", at positions 338 to 795 of the family's 1533-position model. The record is from RNAcentral.